Molecule: ribosomal RNA, 253 nt
Filed under: uncultured bacterium
Lineage: Bacteria
Description: partial 16S ribosomal RNA
Rfam family: Bacterial small subunit ribosomal RNA
Source: RNAcentral
UACGUAGGUGACUAGCGUUGUCCGGAUUUACUGGGCGUAAAGAGCGCGCAGGCGGUCGUUCAAGUCGAGUGUGAAAGCCCCCGGCUCAACUGGGGAGGGUCAUUCGAUACUGAUCGACUCGAAGGCAGGAGAGGGAAGCGGAAUUCCCGGUGUAGUGGUGAAAUGCGUAGAUAUCGGGAGGAACACCAGUGGCGAAGGCGGCUUUCUGGCCUGCUCUUGACGCUGAGGCGCGAAAGCUAGGGUAGCAAACGGG